AAGAGACGUUGCCCUUCAGGGUAUACCUCCCACCCUUUGUUUAUUAUACCUUUGUUGCUUUGGCGGGCCCGUCCUCGGACCACCGGCUUCUGCUGGUCAGUGCCCGCCAGAGGACCUAAAACUCUGUUUGUUAAUAUUGUCUGAGUACUAUAUAAUAGUUA
This 161-nucleotide unclassified non-coding RNA is filed under the name soil metagenome. RNAcentral's name for it is "partial internal transcribed spacer 1". The record is from RNAcentral.